RNAcentral lists this ribosomal RNA (442 nucleotides) under uncultured bacterium. RNAcentral's name for it is "partial 16S ribosomal RNA". It matches the Rfam family "Bacterial small subunit ribosomal RNA", at positions 338 to 795 of the family's 1533-position model. The record is from RNAcentral.
CCUACGGGUGGCAGCAGUGGGGAAUAUUGGGCAAUGGGCGCAAGCCUGACCCAGCAACGCCGCGUGAAGGAAGAAGGCUUUCGGGUUGUAAACUUCUUUUUGCACGGAAGAGUAGAAGACGGUACCUGACGAAUAAGCCACGGCUAACUACGUGCCAGCAGCCGCGGUAAUACGUAGGUGGCAAGCGUUGUCCGGAUUUACUGGGUGUAAAGGGCGUGUAGCCGGGUUGACAAGUCAGAUGUGAAAUCCUGCGGCUUAACCGGAGAACUGCAGUUGAAACUGGUGAUCUUGAGUACUGGAGAGGCAGAUGGAAUUCGUGGUGUAGCGGUGAAAUGCGUAGAUAUUAGGAGGAACACCAGUGGCGAAGGCGGUCUGCUGGACAGCAACUGACGGUGAGGCGCGAAAGCGUGGGGAGCAAACAGGAUUAGAUACCCCAGUAGUC